GGCCCCGAGGUGUUUACCAUGUUAGAUUGCAAAUCUAGAGAAGCAGGUUAAGCCCUGCCUGGGCUU
RNAcentral lists this transfer RNA (66 nucleotides) under Parupeneus multifasciatus (manybar goatfish). RNAcentral's name for it is "tRNA-Cys". The record is from RNAcentral. Lineage: Eukaryota; Metazoa; Chordata; Actinopteri; Syngnathiformes; Mullidae.